This 73-nucleotide transfer RNA is filed under the name Dictyocaulus viviparus (bovine lungworm). It matches the Rfam family "tRNA". From Rfam's summary of the family: Transfer RNA (tRNA) molecules are approximately 80 nucleotides in length. Their secondary structure includes four short double-helical elements and three loops (D, anti-codon, and T loops). Further hydrogen bonds mediate the characteristic L-shaped molecular structure. tRNAs have two regions of fundamental functional importance: the anti-codon, which is responsible for specific mRNA codon recognition, and the 3' end, to which the tRNAs corresponding amino acid is attached (by aminoacyl-tRNA synthetases). tRNAs cope with the degeneracy of the genetic code in two manners: having more than one tRNA (with a specific anti-codon) for a particular amino acid; and 'wobble' base-pairing, i.e. permitting non-standard base-pairing at the 3rd anti-codon position. The record is from Rfam by way of RNAcentral. Lineage: Eukaryota; Metazoa; Nematoda; Chromadorea; Rhabditida; Metastrongylidae.
GCCUCGGUAGUGUAUUGGAUUAGCACAGCAGACCAGACAUAUGUAUGUGCCGGUUCAAAUCCCGCUUGAGGUU